GCUUCCGUAGCUCAGUGGAUUAGAGCAUCCCACUUCUAAUGGGACGGUCGCAGGUUGGCUUCGCCCUUCUCCUUGUGCCUCGGCAUAGCUCAAGCAAGCUUGGCUCUUCGCUCGGCACUGCGUCGAGUCACCUCCCGUCGGAAGUA
This 146-nucleotide transfer RNA is filed under the name Bacteroidales bacterium. RNAcentral describes it as "tRNA-Arg". It matches the Rfam family "tRNA". From Rfam's summary of the family: Transfer RNA (tRNA) molecules are approximately 80 nucleotides in length. Their secondary structure includes four short double-helical elements and three loops (D, anti-codon, and T loops). Lineage: Bacteria; Pseudomonadati; Bacteroidota; Bacteroidia; Bacteroidales. The record is from RNAcentral.